This 468-nucleotide ribosomal RNA is filed under the name uncultured bacterium. Its description in RNAcentral is "partial 16S ribosomal RNA". It matches the Rfam family "Bacterial small subunit ribosomal RNA", at positions 28 to 507 of the family's 1533-position model. The record is from RNAcentral.
GACGAACGCUGGCGGCGUGCUUAACACAUGCAAGUCGAACGGAAAGGCCCUGCUUUUGUGGGGUGCUCGAGUGGCGAACGGGUGAGUAACACGUGAGUAACCUGCCCUUGACUUUGGGAUAACUUCAGGAAACUGGGGCUAAUACCGGAUAGGAGCUCCUGCUGCAUGGUGGGGGUUGGAAAGUUUCGGCGGUUGGGGAUGGACUCGCGGCUUAUCAGCUUGUUGGUGGGGUAGUGGCUUACCAAGGCUUUGACGGGUAGCCGGCCUGGGAGGGUGACCGGGCACAUUGGGACUGCGAUAGGGACCAGACUCCUACGGGAGGCAGAAGUGGGGAAUAUUGCACAAUGGGGGGAAGCCUGAUGCAGCAACGCCGCGUGCGUGAUGACGUGCUUCGGGUUGUAAACCGAUUUCGACUGUGAUGAAGCGUGAGUGACGGUAAUGGGUAAAGAAGCACCGGCUAACUACGUG